Molecule: transfer RNA, 73 nt
Filed under: Pteropus alecto (black flying fox)
Lineage: Eukaryota; Metazoa; Chordata; Mammalia; Chiroptera; Pteropodidae
Also listed under: 1 other name
Rfam family: tRNA
About the family: Transfer RNA (tRNA) molecules are approximately 80 nucleotides in length.
Source: Rfam by way of RNAcentral
GGCUCCAUAGUGUAGUGGUUAGGACAUCUGUUUUAUACGCAGAAGGUCCUGGGUUUGGCCCCAGGUGGAACCA